CCAGACUCCUACGGGAGGCAGCAGUGAGGAAUAUUGGUCAAUGGGCGGAAGCCUGAACCAGCCAAGUCGCGUGAGGGAAGAAGGCCCUGCGGGUCGCAGACCUCUUUGGACGGGGAGCAAGGCCGCCGACGUGUCGGCGGAAGGAGAGUACCCGUAGAACAAGCAUCGGCUAACUCCGUGCCAGCAGCCGCGGUAAUACGGAGGAUGCGAGCGUUAUCCGGAUUUAUUGGGUUUAAAGGGUGCGCAGGCGGGGGCACAAGUCAGCGGUAAAAUCGCGGGGCCCAACCCCGCUCCGCCGUUGAAACUGUGUCCCUUGAGUGCGCGAAGGGUAGGCGGAAUGCGUGGUGUAGCGGUGAAAUGCAUAGAUAUCACGCAGAACUCCGAUUGCGAAGGCAGCAUGCCGGCUCCACACUGACGCUGAGGCACGAAAGCGUGGGUAUCGAACAGGAUUAGAUACCCGCGUAC
This 465-nucleotide ribosomal RNA is filed under the name uncultured bacterium. RNAcentral's name for it is "bacterial SSU rRNA". It matches the Rfam family "Bacterial small subunit ribosomal RNA", at positions 331 to 793 of the family's 1533-position model. The record is from RNAcentral.